RNAcentral lists this non-coding RNA (559 nucleotides) under Pan troglodytes (chimpanzee). The record is from RNAcentral. Lineage: Eukaryota; Metazoa; Chordata; Mammalia; Primates; Hominidae.
AAACAGGCUGAAAUCUUUUCUUCUUGCAUUGCUAUCUUCAGCGUCUUAUAUCAUUCAGUCAGCUAAAUUCCAUCUUUGUGAUAAAUCCCCCACAAAUAUUUUGUGAUCUCUCUGAUCUAAGCAGUGUUAAACCUUUUGAUUCCUUGUAUCCUUCCUCUCCCCUUUCUUAAAAUAGUCUGUAGCGCUCAUGUCAAGGACCUGCUCAGCUUCCCUUUCUCUAAAAUUGCAUAAUCCUACAAGAAUAUUUUCCCUUCUUUUCCUUCAGGAGCAAACAUUCUCAAAAGAUUCUUAAAUGCAAACCCGCAGGCACAGCAUGUGUCUGUCAACUCCAAGAGCAUUUGGAUGUUCGAAGGGAGAGGAUGUUUGACAUCUAACCCGUCGUGGAAAGAGGAACCUCUACAGUGACAUGAAGGCAAUGGAUUCUCAGCAUUACAAGGCAAGACAGAACUUGAAGGAAGAAGGCUGGGAGGAAACCAAGGUUGAAUGAACACUGACUCUGUGCUCAGCCCUGAGCAAGCAGUGGAAAUGCCCCUGGGCUGUGAGCCAGGAAUUCAAAUCC